RNAcentral lists this ribosomal RNA (433 nucleotides) under uncultured bacterium. Its description in RNAcentral is "partial 16S ribosomal RNA". It matches the Rfam family "Bacterial small subunit ribosomal RNA", at positions 29 to 507 of the family's 1533-position model. The record is from RNAcentral.
AACGAACGCUGGCGGCAUGCCUAACACAUGCAAGUCGAACGAGACCUUCGGGUCUAGUGGCGCACGGGUGCGUAACGCGUGGGAACCUGCCCUUAGGUUCGGAAUAACUCCCCGAAAGGGGUGCUAAUACCGGAUAAUGUCUUCGGACCAAAGAUUUAUCGCCUUUGGAUGGUCCCGCGUUGGAUUCGCUAGUUGGUAGGGUAAAAGCCUACCAAGGCGACGAUCCAUAGCUGGUCUGAGAGGAAGAUCAGCCACACUGGGACUGAGACACGGCCCAGACUCCUACGGGAGGCAGCAGUGGGGAAUAUUGGACAAUGGGCGAAAGCCUGAUCCAGCAAUGCCGCGUGAGUGAUGAAGGCCUUAGGGUUGUAAAGCUCUUUUAACCGGGAUGAUAAUGACAGUACCGGGAGAAUAAGCUCCGGCUAACUCCGUG